UGUGUGUGAGAGAGAGUACCUCUGUGUGUGUGAGAGAGUACCUCUGUACCUCUGUGUGUGUGUGAGAGCGACUGUGUGUGUGUGUGAGAGAGACUCUGUGUGUCUGUGAGAGAGUACCUCUGUGUGUGUGUGUGUGUCUGUGAGAGCGACUGUGUGUGUGAGAGAGCGACUGUGUGUGUGAGAGAGCGACUGUGUGUGUCUGUGAGAGCGACUGUGUGUGUCUGAGAGCGACUGUGUGUCUGUGAGAGCGACUGUGUGUCUGUGAGAGCGACUGUGUGUGUGUGAGAGCGACUGUGUGUCUGUGAGAGCGACUGUGUGUGUCUGUGAGAGCGACUGUGUGUGUCUGUGAGAGCGACUGUGUGUGUGUGUCUGAGAGUGACUGUGUGUGUGUCUGGGUGUCUGUGAGAGUGACUGUCUGUGUGUCUGUGAGAGUGAUUGUGUCUGUGAGUCUGUGAGUGACUGUGUCUGUGAGAGUGACUGUGUGCGUGUGUCUGUGAGAGUGACUGUGUGCGUGUGUCUGUGAGAGUGACUGUGUGCGUGUGUCUGUGAGAGUGAC
Long non-coding RNA from Oncorhynchus tshawytscha (Chinook salmon), 556 nucleotides. NCBI's taxonomy places the organism in Eukaryota, Metazoa, Chordata, Actinopteri, Salmoniformes, Salmonidae. The record is from Ensembl.